GUCCAUUCUAUGACUUCUUUUGGUUUUGGUGUUUUAGAUUAGACUCUAGAUUUCAAGGGGUUUUCUGGAAAGCUGCUAGAAUAGGCAGCCGAGAGAGGUGUCUCAGUGAGGGAUUGUAUGUAUGAAUCGUUCCACUCACUACACACUUACGAGGACGGGAGUUACACAUAUAAAAGGGCUGCUGAUAUUGAUGUAAGUUCUACAGCCAGAACUUGCUAUAUUCUGUUGUAACUGAGAUAUGUGGUAGAUUCAAUUUACUAUCAAUAGGUUUUUCUUUUUGCUGCCA
This is a non-coding RNA of Salvia hispanica, 286 nucleotides long. Lineage: Eukaryota; Viridiplantae; Streptophyta; Magnoliopsida; Lamiales; Lamiaceae. The record is from RefSeq and is a predicted model, not a curated record.